CUGCUAUAUCACACAAAAUUUCCAGUAAAAGUGUACAAAUUAAGAGCUCAUUAAUUGUUGGAAGUAGCCCUGGGUUUAAUUGCUCUGAUGUCCUAACUAAUGAUGAUCCCAAUAUUGAACUCACUGCUGCUCAUCGGAGUCCUAGAUCUCCAUCAGGUGAAAAAUUUGAAACUUUAAUGUUAUUGUUCAUACGAGUGCAUAUUCAAUUUUCAUUAACUUUUUUUUUUGGUAAAAGGUGGGAGAAGUGGGAUUUGUUGGCCUACCUUUGCUUCAGCUCAUAACAUGGCACCCCGAAAGCCCCAUGCAGGGAUCAUGAGUUACAAUGCCAUCAGUGGCCUUUUGGACAUCUCAGGCAAGUACACAGUCUUUUACAAAUCUUCUCAAUUAAUUUCUGUAGAGAAUAUGUAGAGGAUAACUAAUAAUGUUUCACUGUUAGUAAAAAUGAUUUAAGUGAAUUUUUAUAGCAAUCUGCUCAAUAUGACAAAGAAAUCAGACAUCAGAGUCAAUUUUGAGAAUGGUUUCUUGGCAGGAUUCUUAUACUGUAUGUUGAAGAAUUGAUGUUAAAUUUUCCUUCUAAAACAACAACGACAAAACACUGGCAUUUGUGAUUUAAUAUGAAUUAAUUUGUAUAAUUUGUAAAUGCCCUUUCAUGUAAGUAGGAUUAUAUAUUAUCAUCCCCUUUUAAAAUUGAAGAACCUUAAGCUCAAAGAACUUAGUGCCUGGCCAAAUUCCCACAGCUAUUGGCACAGCUAGGAUUAGAAUCAAAAUCUUCUGAUUCAAACUCCACUGCUCUUUCACUGAACCAGGAUGGCUGCUUAGAAAUGUAAAAUAAUUAUAUAUAAAUUAAUGUAGUAAACACAUCAAUUAUUUUCAUUUGGCCUAUUAAAUAACAC
RNAcentral lists this small RNA (893 nucleotides) under Pan troglodytes (chimpanzee). RNAcentral's name for it is "retained intron". Lineage: Eukaryota; Metazoa; Chordata; Mammalia; Primates; Hominidae. The record is from RNAcentral.